RNAcentral lists this unclassified non-coding RNA (256 nucleotides) under Hevea brasiliensis (rubber tree). Lineage: Eukaryota; Viridiplantae; Streptophyta; Magnoliopsida; Malpighiales; Euphorbiaceae. The record is from RNAcentral.
GCCCAGUACUUCUCCUCAAUCCUGUAAGAUUAUCUUCUUGAACUGAAACACCGGCAUGUUAUAUGUUUGUCUGUCUGCAUGCUUGUUUUAUUUCUAACCUGUUGAUUUGUGGUUGUGAGAUUCUUAAUGUUCUCAAUUUUGCAAAUGUUCAAUCUGUUCCUUUUUUUUAUGCAACUUGUCCGUACAAUUUCUUCUCCCUUCCCCUUCUUCUGGCUACAUAAAUACCUCUUUAUGUUAGUCUAAUGCAUUAAAUUUG